Non-coding RNA from Lonchura striata (white-rumped munia), 241 nucleotides. Lineage: Eukaryota; Metazoa; Chordata; Aves; Passeriformes; Estrildidae. The record is from RefSeq and is a predicted model, not a curated record.
UUCGGGGGCUACGGGCGGCUGGGCCACGCCGAGCAGAAGGACGAGAUGGUUCCGCGGCUGGUGAAGCUCUUCGACUUCCCGGGGCGCGGCGCCGCCCAGAUCUACGCGGGAUACACCUGCUCCUUCGCCGUCAGCGAGACCGGCGGGUUGUUCUUCUGGGGCGCCACCAACACGUCCCGGGAGUCCACCAUGUACCCCAAGGCGGUGCAGGACCUGUGCGGGUGGAGGAUCCGCAGCCUGG